Molecule: long non-coding RNA, 1635 nt
Organism: Equus asinus (donkey)
Lineage: Eukaryota; Metazoa; Chordata; Mammalia; Perissodactyla; Equidae
Source: Ensembl
AUCAUGGGAGCCCUCCCUGCCUCAGGCAGGUAUCAUCCCCAUACUGCGGAUGAAGAAACUGAGGCCUCGAGACAUUAAGGCAUGUUUCUCAUCAGGUAAAUGGUGAUAACCAACCUCACAGAUGGUUGGGAAAAUGAGAUGAGAUAAUACACAGGAAGUGCAGCUCCUGACGAAGAAUGAGGAGUCCAUCCAUGGAAGCCACCAUCAUUCGUGUGUCGUGUGAAUUUCUGGUCCUAACCUGAAGGGAGAGGAGAGAGAAGACUGAGGAUUGGUGCUGAAAGACAUCCAAGACCUUGUUUUCUUCCUCCUCCUUCUCCCGAGAGAACCCUGGACUUACUUCAGGGGAAAACUACAUCACGCAAUGUUCUGUCUCCAUUGCUUUGCCAGAAAUUCCUCAUGACAGAUUCUGAUGCACCAGAUCGAGCCACCUCGCUGAGUGGCACCUAUUUGCAGAAGUCAUUAAAAGCCAUUGUUUAACUAAAGGCUUUUCUUCUUCCUUACAAUUUUCAAGACCCUGAAUUUGUACAGACCUGACUCAGCAACAUUGUAUUUUGGGAAUUUGCUACCUCUUCUCAGAUUCUGGACUGCGGUUCCCUAGUUUGCUGCUCUCGGCUCAGGAAUGGCUGUUACCUAGAUUUUGGCUCCAGAUCGGAAGUACUCUUGCCACAAAAAGACACAUCUUUGUACCAGGGCUCUGCCCCACCUGCUGGGUGCCUGGAUGACCCGGUUCCCCUUCCCUCUUGCCUCAUGGACAAAUUAACAUUUCCACAAUUGUAAAUUGUUGCCUUCCUAGGAAAGUAGCCAUUUGCCAGAGUGGUAAAGAUUUUGAAUAGAAUACACGCGCACACAGCCCUUUCUCUCUCUCUUUCUCUCUCUCCUUCUCUCCUUAAAUGGGAUCAUGACUGGAAAGCACCCAGCAUAGUGGCUGUCACAGAGGCCAGAACUCAAUAAAUAUUAUCGACGACUGCUAAUGCUAUAAUCAUCAUGUUCGAAAGGAAACUAUAGCCCUAGUCCCUUUGUGGUCAUGCUCGAGAAUCAGAAAGCUCUCUUGGCCUAGUGACCCAUUCUGGGUUUUUUGUACUCUAUCCUUCAUACACACACAGCACAUUAAGAGUCUGUUCAUUCUUGGGAUGUGUGCGAAAUUCCAAUUCCUGUCAGGAGAAUUUAUGUGUGGUUUUAGAGGGGAUAAUCGACCAGUUGGUAUGUGUGCACUGAUUUUAUACACAUACGCGUCGCCGUUUACAGCACACAUUAUAACAUCUUCAGUCUCUGCCAAGAAUGUGUAUUUCUUAGCUCCGUGCAUUUGCAUAUUAUGGGUUCAUAAUUUCAAAUAGCUGUAAAGAUCUCUACAGAAAAAUGUAGUCACUGUACUCUGAUGUUCUAAAUCUCAAUGUAGUAGUAGAACCUGGCUAAUUUUUGCCCCUGCUGAUGUGCUAGCCCUGUAAUUUUUACACACACACAUGCACUCACACUUCUGACUUUGCCCUACUUCGAAGCAAAGAUUUAAUAGCUAGGAGCUGAGUUAUGCUCCUCAGCCUUCAUUACCUUUCCAAAAUAUAUUGUACGCAUGGCACAAUGUACAUCAUGUUACAGAUGAUUAAAAUGAAAAGAUUUGUCAAAAUAAAGAACCUGCUG